AUGCAGUGAUGAGCGGAAGUAUAGUUUGACCCGGUAGAGCCACAGUUUCCCACAUUUGGCCCUGACCAGGAGAUGAUCACUUAAUCUUCUCUCUGAGCUG
Molecule: small nucleolar RNA, 100 nt
Organism: Tachyglossus aculeatus (Australian echidna)
Lineage: Eukaryota; Metazoa; Chordata; Mammalia; Monotremata; Tachyglossidae
Product: Z30 small nucleolar RNA
Exons: 1
Source: RefSeq, a predicted model, not a curated record